GUUUUGUUAUAGCUCAAGCCCGACCAAAAAAAUACAUGGGCUCCAAUCUCCUAACCCACCCGAAACCCAAAAGAAAUAAACACAGAUUCAUUUCCAAAACCCAACCAAAAAAAAAAAAUCUUGGCCCAUUAGAGAAAUAAAUAUUAGCCCAAUUCUUUUUUUCUUUUUCCUCCCUUUUUCUUUCUUCUUCUUUCUUCUUCCUCACCGUCCGUUUCUUCUUCUUCUUGCCUGGCCAGCUGAAGCUUCUUCAGCUGGCGACCAUGGCGGCCGCCGACAACUUCUUCGGUCGCCAAAAUUCCUCAAAAUGCACCUCCCCACUCCAUUUUUCGCGUAGGUUCCAUUUCCGGAGUUAAUUUUUAUAAAAGAUGACCUGAAGGUAGCCGAAAAGCAAAAAGCCAGUCCAGUUUUUUUUU
RNAcentral lists this long non-coding RNA (413 nucleotides) under Coffea arabica (coffee). RNAcentral's name for it is "long non-coding RNA (CARA_LNC007256)". The record is from RNAcentral. Lineage: Eukaryota; Viridiplantae; Streptophyta; Magnoliopsida; Gentianales; Rubiaceae.